CCUACGGGGGGCAGCAGUGGGGAAUAUUGCUCAAUGGGGGAAACCCUGAAGCAGCAACGCCGCGUGGGGGAUGAAGGUUUUCGGAUUGUAAACUCCUUUUGUUAGAGAAGAUAAUGACGGUAUCUAACGAAUAAGCACAGGCUAACUCCGUGCCAGCAGCCGGGGUAAUACGGAGGGUGCAAGCGUUAAUCGGAAUCACUGGGCGUAAAGAGCGCGUAGGCGGGAUAGCAAGUCAGAUGUGAAAUCCUAUGGGUUAACCAUAGAACUGCAUUUGAAACUGGUAUUCUAGAGUAUGGGAGAGGUAGGUGGAAUGCUUGGUGUAGGGGUAAAAUGCAUAGAGAUCAAGAGGAAUACUCAUUGCGAAGGCGACAUGCUGGAACAUAACUGACGCUGAUGCGCGAAAGCGUGGGGAGCAAACAGGAUUAGAUACCCCAGUAGUC
RNAcentral lists this ribosomal RNA (440 nucleotides) under uncultured bacterium. RNAcentral's name for it is "partial 16S ribosomal RNA". It matches the Rfam family "Bacterial small subunit ribosomal RNA", at positions 338 to 795 of the family's 1533-position model. The record is from RNAcentral.